Molecule: RNA transcript, 1679 nt
Organism: Oncorhynchus gorbuscha (pink salmon)
Lineage: Eukaryota; Metazoa; Chordata; Actinopteri; Salmoniformes; Salmonidae
Exons: 5
Source: RefSeq, a predicted model, not a curated record
CGUCUGUUGAGAAGAAAAAUAGGCCUAAAAGGCAAAAAUGAACAAUUGAACACACUAUCUUGUAUCUAUCUAUCGAUUUAGCCAAAACAACUCGAAAUCCAUUCAAGACUUUUGACGCGCAGGAACGUGCGCACAUAAAAGGCUAUAAGGAAACCAAAUUUCAUUUCAGAAUUGGUUAAAAUUAUGUUAUGAUCAGGGUUUAGAUAAGGACGCUGAACAACAGACGAAGGCAGAAGAACUUCUAUUGGCUGAAGCAAGUUUUAGGACAAAUGCCUUCAGAAUCAUCAAUAUAAUGAUUGAACUAUGCAGAAAUAACCCUGGCAGUAAGGUGCAUGUGGAUGAGAUUCUCCACAGCAUCUUCUUCUUAGGUUUAUUUCGUAAACCCCAACAAUGCACCCCCAACGAUAUCCUUGGUGAAUUUAUGCCUAAAGUGCAGGAGACUUUCCCGAGACCAUUUGUGAAUUACACAAGUAAACUGCCAAAACGGACUCCGUUCUCCUCUGUGCUGGAUAUGGUGGUCUCCUCGCUUGGACCAGACAUAGAGAUCAAUAUACUGGUGGAGAGACUGCAGGAAAUCGCCAAUCGCAUGUCAGAACCCAAUAGUAAAUACAAGUUCACCUCCUCAACCAUCUGUGUCUCUCAAAGGAGGAUGUUCAAGGAAGUUACUAUGGAGCGUCCAUGUCCUGCAAUGGGAAGCAAGAAGGACAGAUCAUGGUUGCUGUGUCCUGUCUGAGUACCUGGCACUGCGGUGUAUCCAAUGCUGUGAUGACAUACGACCCAAAAACCAUGAUGAAGAGAGAGAACUUUGACCACACCUUCAAUCUACCAACACAUUUCAGGUGCCAGGCUUUCAAUCUGAGUACUGGGGCCGAGAUGAAACCUUGCAAAUCAUGUCAUAAUCUGUUUGGCCUUGAGACAAGUGAAGUUAAGAUAUGGCCCUACGGGAACUGCGCCGAGGCAGAGAGCUUGAGUAAACUGUUCGAUGGAAAUGGAUUUGAUGCUAUUGGAGUAGUAGAUGACGAGGUGCGAAGGCAGGUGAUACAGUCGGUAAGAUCUGACCUGCAAAUAAAACUCAGGUCUAUUAGAUAUGAAUGGGAUGGUGACUAUUACAUUCCACUGUAGAUUGUCAAAGAUGAUGGUGAAGCACAUCCAUACACACACAAUCACUUACAUACUUCACACACACUUAUAAACACUCUUACUGCAACACACUGAGAUCCAAAACAUGAAACAUAUAAUCAUAGCUUGGUGCGGGGCUAGCAACAUGUGAUUUGUGGCUGACAGUUAGCGUUGAAACAUUGCCAAAGCAGUGAACCACUAUGUGCAUGUAGUAUACAGUAUAACUGCUAGGCUACAGCUAUCGGCUCUUAUCAAUGACAUCUGUGAGGUAGAUGGUUCUUUUAGAAGGGGACCGUUGUUUAGAGUACCUCAUGGAGAUACCUGAAAUUGAAUUUAAUAUUCUAGUCUAGACACAGCAUUUAACAUAUAUAUAUUUUUAAAGAUGAUUUUAAUUGGGAUUUUAAACUUUAUUUCUGUAUACUCUAGUUAUUAAUGUACAUUUUACUAAUCUGUAACAAAUUACUAAUACUGUAAACGUUGGUGUGAAUUCAUGUCUGGGUUGAUUUCUAGCUAUGUGAGGAAUUCAUCUAAUAAAGGAACUUACAUUGUAACCAUUGUAA